This 253-nucleotide ribosomal RNA is filed under the name uncultured bacterium. RNAcentral's name for it is "partial 16S ribosomal RNA". It matches the Rfam family "Bacterial small subunit ribosomal RNA", at positions 524 to 776 of the family's 1533-position model. The record is from RNAcentral.
UACGGGGGGGGCAAGCGUUGUUCGGAAUUACUGGGCGUAAAGGGCUCGUAGGUGGCCAACUAAGUCAGACGUGAAAUCCCUCAGCUUAACUGGGGAACUGCGUCUGAUACUGGAUGGCUUGAGUUUGGGAGAGGGAUGCGGAAUUCCAGGUGUAGCGGUGAAAUGCGUAGAGAUGUGGAGGAACACCGAUGGCGAAGGCAGCCCCCUGGGCUGAGAUUGACGCUCAGGCACGAAAGCGUGGGGAGCAAACAGG